Long non-coding RNA from Oncorhynchus tshawytscha (Chinook salmon), 1064 nucleotides. Lineage: Eukaryota; Metazoa; Chordata; Actinopteri; Salmoniformes; Salmonidae. The record is from Ensembl.
CAACACUGUGCCAUCUCAUUUCCCAGCUCUACGCAGGAUUAAUGUUGCCUUCGACUCGGCUAGGUUUAAAUUUCAUCUCCUUUUAUUUUGCUGCUUGGAGAAAUCAGUCGUUUGUAUUUAUUUUAUGAGCCUUUUACUUUGUGAGAUUUAUUGUUCUCCCCUUCUCUCCCUCUUUUUAUUUGUUAUUUUCCAUGGGGUUUGCUUUUAAAGAUUUCCCCCCUUUUGGUGUAUAUUUCAGAUUCAAAUUAGAGCAAUUAUUACGUUGAGGUUUUUUUGGAGGGGGGGGGGGAAUAAAUGAGACUGCUGGGUGGAGGGAUCAACGGUUAUGGCAAUAGGGAGGGAGAGUGCAGUUAUGAAAAUAAACGAAAAGGACGUUUUCUUAAGGAGGGGCAGUGUGAGUGGUGGUUGACAUCACUCUGACAACACACUCACUGAGAGACUAUCCCUGUUUUGAGACAUCACAUCUUAAACACUACUGUGCUAGGUUAAGCUAUGGCCACCUGGGGGCGCUGGGGCUGCUGGUGGUUUCCUUUCUAGAUAUAGAUAUACUGUAUUACCCAACAGCAGUUACUGCUUAAGACUUUUGUAGGCAUGGAGGACAUUGAUUUGAACACAACCAGGUGGGUGAAAGUUUGAGUGGACUUCCCAACAACACUGAGAACAUGUGAGCCCUGAAUGCCCAACACUGUGAACCUAUGGGCCAGCUACCAAGGGCCCUAUUCAACUUGUAUCCAAAAGGUUCCCAGGUAAGGUAAAAACGUGCUUUCUUACAGUGCAAGAAGAAUACAAGUUUGACUCAACCGUGGGAUCCUCUGGAUAUAGGUUUUGGUUGAGUAGAGCCUCUUGUUUCAAUCCCUCUGUUCUUUCACCCCUGGUCAACCAGGUUGUUUUUCAACCCAAAUCCUCAUUGCUGUGCUGCCCUCACUAUUUGUAAUGCUUACAUUUUUUUUGUGUCAUUUUUAAUUAUUUGUUAAAUUAAUUGAAAUGUGCUGGUAAUCACAAAGAUAUGUAUGGCAACUUUUUUUGUUCCUCUCUCAAAUAAAUGCAUGUAAUGACUAAUGAAG